CCGGGAUACCAGGCGAUCCUGGUGGGCCUGCCGGGCCUGCGUCGCCAAUAGGUCCUUGUGGUCCCACGGGCCCUGAUGGCCCAGUCAAUCCAGAUGCUCCAGGUUCACCCUAACUGGUCCGCGGUGAAUUGCUUGCCCACGACGAGGGUCCCAGCCAAGUUGAAGCUGCUGCCAGGCUUGCGGUCGAGCCGCAGGGUCUCCGUGAUGUUGCAGUCUACCAACAGGGUCGCCGAGUCGCCUUUGACGCUGAGCGCUAGACGGUGCCAUCUGUAGGAGGUGUCUCAGCAAAGGUUGGCGACGCCUGGCGCUGACGUCGGGCAUGUUAAAUUUAUUAAUGAUCGCUGAUUUAAAUUAACAGUUUAACAGUCCAUAAUAUACUUUCUAGGUUACUUAUAAUAUAUGUCACGGAUACACUAGGGGACAAAUGUCCUGUGCAACUCAGAUCCUACGUAUUAAAGAAAUUCUCAACUCAAACCACCCUAUGAACUAUCCCUCAGUGUUUCACGCAACAUUAUACAUGACCCGGGACAUGUUUGACGGACUGCGGCAACAUUGUCCCCAGGAAAAUCACUCGAUGUGAAACUCCUGCUUUCGAUUCUCAGAUCAUAAUGUCGAACACGUUUCCUUAACGUUAAUUGACAUCAUCCCAUUAUAAUUAACCUUUAAGGAAAUUAUCUCAUUAGAAUACACUUAAAAUAAUUAAUUUCAUAAAAAAUAUCAUAACUUGGCCUAUUACGUUAAAAUCAAACUCCAGUUUUGGAAUAAGUACGAUGACUUACUCGUAGUAUAAAUAUGAUAUGAAUACUGUGUCGGGGGCAUCGAAUUCGUAUGCCUACCUUAUUACUUGCUGUGACAUCUGUCUGAUACACUCUUUAAUUUGGUGUCAGUCCCUAUAUUUGCUUUAUUAAUAUCUAAAAUGUAGGGUAGGUGUAGUAAAUAUUUGAACUUCGUAUCACACAACUAUGUCAUAGGAUCUGCCCUAUGAUUGGUCUAAAAGGUUAUAAUUAAAAUUCAACCAAUCAUAAUUUGCCCCAUCUACGCUUGAAAUUGAAUUGAUCUUUGAGCUUUGUUUUUUAGUACACACCUUUAUUUUUCUCAGACGU
Long non-coding RNA from Ostrinia furnacalis (Asian corn borer), 1103 nucleotides. RefSeq lists it as uncharacterized. The transcript has 3 exons. Lineage: Eukaryota; Metazoa; Arthropoda; Insecta; Lepidoptera; Crambidae. The record is from RefSeq and is a predicted model, not a curated record.